CUUAUUUAUAGAUGUUAAUUUAGCUAUAACGAGUUAAAAAUGAUGGGAUAAUUUUGCGCUAAAUUGGGGAAUCAAUGUUUCAGCUAAAAUAAGCCUGAAACAUCUAUUUUAUCAAGUAACACCUUAAUAAUCGGAAAUCAUGGUUGGCUAGAAUCGCGUAACGAUGAUCACUGUUAUUUUUCCGUUUGAGCAACUUGUUAUAUUUAGUCUUUCAACUGUGUUUCGUUAUCACGUUGUGGUGGU
Molecule: unclassified non-coding RNA, 243 nt
Filed under: Moritella viscosa
Lineage: Bacteria; Pseudomonadati; Pseudomonadota; Gammaproteobacteria; Alteromonadales; Moritellaceae
Description: putative sRNA
Source: RNAcentral